AUGCUAUGAGGUGUUUGUGAUGUUUUUGUGAAGAAUCAAAAAGGGUUGCGUGUGAAUGAUGGAAUUGUGGGACCUCUCUAUAUUAUGGGGCUAGUUUGAUUGAAUUGGUGUAUUGGCGAUGCAGGAUAGCAUUUCUAGUUGUGGAUUUGCUAUUAGAGUGCAUGAUGUAAAUUUGAAAUGUUGAUAAUUUUGUUGUAAUGAGAAAUCAAAUUGUAUUGAAUUAUGUAUGUUGGUUUUGAAUGGUCAUGAAUGAAAAUUGUAUUGAAUUAUGUAUGUUGGUUGUGAAGGGUUAUGAAUGAAAAUUGUAUGGAAAUGGAAUUGGCUUAUCAUGUGCAAUGCUCUAUUACAUAUUUACAAUAAAAAUGCACCAAUCUUUC
This 377-nucleotide long non-coding RNA is filed under the name Lathyrus oleraceus (garden pea). RNAcentral describes it as "Pisum sativum (pea) long non-coding RNA (PSAT_LNC014761)". The record is from RNAcentral. Lineage: Eukaryota; Viridiplantae; Streptophyta; Magnoliopsida; Fabales; Fabaceae.